GACCGACAUCAGCGACUCGUUCUGCGACCCAUUGCCGACGGCGAGGUAGGCGUUCAUCCCCAGCUCGCGCAUCUGCUGUUCGCCGAUCACCCGGGUGAUGACGUUUUUGCUGUAGGUAUCGGCCAGCUGACGCGCCUGAGAGGCCAGAUAGGCGGCGUUACAGAUGUUCGGCGGCAUAUUGCCAAGAUCUUUCGC
RNAcentral lists this antisense RNA (195 nucleotides) under Klebsiella pneumoniae. RNAcentral's name for it is "Ysr276". It matches the Rfam family "Yersinia sRNA 276". The record is from RNAcentral. Lineage: Bacteria; Pseudomonadati; Pseudomonadota; Gammaproteobacteria; Enterobacterales; Enterobacteriaceae.